This 572-nucleotide small RNA is filed under the name Pongo abelii (Sumatran orangutan). RNAcentral describes it as "retained intron". The record is from RNAcentral. Lineage: Eukaryota; Metazoa; Chordata; Mammalia; Primates; Hominidae.
AGUCGCAGGCGUGCUGCUGAGGCGUGAGAAUGGCGUAUCGCGGCCGGCGUCCGGAGCAUGGCGGACCCCCAGAGCUGUUUUAUGACGAGACAGAAGCCCGGAAAUACGUUCGCAACUCACGGAUGAUUGAUAUCCAGACCAGGAUGGCUGGGCGAGCAUUGGAGCUUCUUUAUCUGCCAGAGAAUAAGCCCUGUUACCUGCUGGAUAUUGGCUGUGGCACUGGGCUGAGUGGAGGUUAUCUGUCAGAUGAAGGGCACUAUUGGGUGGGCCUGGAUAUCAGCCCUGCCAUGCUGGGUCCGGGGAUCCCGAGCUGUCCUGCAGCUGUACCCUGAGAACUCAGAGCAGGUGAGUCCCUCGGCUACUGGGUGUGCAGGGGAGUGGGGGGACUCAACAGGUAAGCUGUCCUGGGGAAGCGACAAAGAACCUUAUGCAGAUUGGCGGGAAAAGGAGGAACCAUGCACCCUAGUGUGGCCCCUGAUGGCACAUUUGACGACCUGAUAUCCUAAGGGGGUGGCAUCUGCGGAGGUGGGGUGGGAUGCCUUCUCUUGGCAGAUGACAUGGUAUUACAGAUA